RNAcentral lists this non-coding RNA (45 nucleotides) under Schistosoma haematobium. The record is from RNAcentral. Lineage: Eukaryota; Metazoa; Platyhelminthes; Trematoda; Strigeidida; Schistosomatidae.
ACCCUGCUGACGAGGGCUAAAUAGAACGAAACCCGGGUCCAGGGU